RNAcentral lists this transfer RNA (85 nucleotides) under Candidatus Yonathbacteria bacterium. RNAcentral describes it as "tRNA-Leu". It matches the Rfam family "tRNA". Rfam says of the family: Transfer RNA (tRNA) molecules are approximately 80 nucleotides in length. Their secondary structure includes four short double-helical elements and three loops (D, anti-codon, and T loops). Lineage: Bacteria; Candidatus Yonathiibacteriota. The record is from RNAcentral.
GCCCAAGUGGCGGAAUUGGUAUACGCGCACGAUUGAGGUUCGUGUUCCGUAAGGAUUGGAGGUUCAAGUCCUCUCUUGGGCACCA